CUGAACGAUUUAAUCACGUUCUGUUGUUAAGAAAGUAUUAAGCUUCUUAAUAAUCUUACCUUACCGAAAUCUUUCUCCGUCCAUUUUGGGACAACCUCAUCUAGAGUAGUUGACAACUCUACGACAGAUUCAUCCACGUGAUCACUAGUAAAGGUGAUGCACGACCGAAACACAUAUUGAAUUUAAAAUAACUGCUAUUUAAUACGCCAGACGCGCAUUUAGUCUACAUAGUUAUAAAGCCAAAAAGGUACAAAGUUAGAGAGCAUUGAGGACCCCAAAUUCCAAAAAGCUGUGCCAAAUACGGCUUAGGUAAUCUGCU
RNAcentral lists this long non-coding RNA (319 nucleotides) under Mytilus galloprovincialis (Mediterranean mussel). The record is from RNAcentral. Lineage: Eukaryota; Metazoa; Mollusca; Bivalvia; Mytilida; Mytilidae.